AAAACAAUAUACUAGGGACUUAGCGCAAAAAACCAGAACAAAAAAAGACCUAGAAAAGAUAGGCCGCUUCUUCUUAAAAAAAAAGAACAAAAAACGUAUGGACCAAGCGAGAAGAUCCUGAAGCUGCUGCACAACGCAAAACGACCCCCACCCCCUUGAAACCUCAUCUCCUCCACACCACCCCAGCAGCCGGAACACAAACGACCCCCACCCCAUCGACUCGCCUACUUCAACAACAACAGCCACCGGACCUCAUGACUCACCCCAUCGCCGGGAACUCGCAUACACCACCUGCAUCCAUCUCCCUCGACACACACGCACAGAAACGAGAAACAGAGAGAACGAGAGUAGAAGGGAGGCAGCGAGUUUCAGUCAAAAAUUGAGUGAACGUUAGCUCCGAGCUUGGGUGUCGAGUUUUUCGGUAUCGUUUCGAGGUUCCGUCCGCGUCUUUGUCCGUUAUUCAAGCUUCAAAACAGUGUUGUAAAGCGUGAAUAAUGGGGCCGAGGUGGAAAGGAAAAGGGGCCGAAGUUAAAGCUCUUGCAGAUCCCAUUUCAGAAAUAGUAAUCCAGCUUCAAUCUUCUCUGAUCUGCUCAAACUCUCGAGGACUGCUUUCUGAUACGAAUGUGCUUCUUAAAGCAGACACAGAACAAACUGAGCUCCUCAAUCGUGCAUGUUUUGGUAGGCCCAGGGUAACGACAGAAAAGAAUGAGCAAUGGUUUCAGCUCUGCAUGGAAGAAGCUUUUUACCUUCAGUAUUCUCUAAAAUGCAUUAAGGUUGUUGACCACAAUGACACUGAACUGAACAGUGAUGAGGUAUGGAGGCAUAUGACAUCCAGGAGGGAAAAUUUUCCUAUCUUAUUCAAAGCUUUUUCUCACCUUAGAAGUAAGAACUGGGUGGUUAGAUCGGGCUCCCAGUACGGGGUAGACUUUGUUGCUUAUCGUCAUCAUCCUGCUCUAGUACAUUCUGAAUAUGCUGUGCUUGCUUUAUCUUCACAAAGUGGUAGUGCAAAUGGUCGCUUGAGGGUUUGGUCUGACUUCCAUUGCACUCUUCGACUUUGUGGUAGUGUGGCGAAAACGUUACUAAUUCUUGACAUUGAGCAACAACAAAGUUGUGCAACUAAUCCGUCGUGCUUAGAUAACUAUGUUGUUGAAGAGAGAACAAUCACAAGAUGGAGUUCGGAGCAAGGCCGCAAAACAAAACCUAUGUUUGACCCAAGUAAAAAGUAGAUCGUCUGGUUCAAGAUUAACUCCUACUUCACAUGUUGUACUAGUUUAGCAAUUGUAAUGUGAUUUAGAAGCAUUACGAUUAAUACUAUGUAUUACUAUUAAUACUUUGCAUACUGUAUUUAUUCCUACAACUUUGUUGCAGGCAUUUUGGCCGACUUUUAUGCCCAGCAAAAUGUCUGGUUGCUGCAAGCCCCCUACAGAAUGUGGCUAUACUUGCAUGAAUGAGAUAGUGAGGAGUUCUGGAGGAGGGCUGGUACGAGGUGAUCCGGGUUGUGUUAGAUGGAACAAUGAUCAACAGCAGCUCUACUAUAACUGCAAUUCUUGUAAAGCUGGUGUUCUGGCAAGUCUAUCUUAUUACCUAUGUUUGGCAUUUCUAUCUUAUUAGAACAACAUGCUUUAUUCAUACUUUCAUAUGCUCCCUUUCUCCCUCAAAGAGAAUUGGCUGUAAAUCUCGUAUGAGUUGUUCUGUUCUUUUUUUAUAUAAUUAAUUUCUUUUAUGCCUGGGUUUCUCUUUGAAUUGGUUUUGGAGGCAGGUUAGUUCUUUCUGGAUGUAGCAACUUGCUAUAAGAGAUAAAAACAUUCAUGUAAGCUUGACUUUGACUUAAAAGAGCAUCGAGGGUGAAAUAAGAAGGCAUAGUUUACCAUUUUGCUGGGCAUAAAAGUCGGCCAAAAUGAUUGCAACAAAGUUGUAGGAAAAAAUACAGUAUGCAGAGUAUUAAUAGUAAUACAUAGUAUUAAUCGUAAUGCUUCUAAAUCACAUUACAAUUGCUAAACUAGUACAACAUGUGAAGUAGGAGUUAAUCUUGAACCAGACGAUCUACUUUUUACUUGGGUCAAACAUAGGUUUUGUUUCGCGGCCUUGCUCCGGACUCCAUCUUGUGAUUGUUCUCUCUUCAACAACAUAGUUAUCUAAGCACGACGGAGAAGUUGCACAACUUUGUUGUUGCUCAAUAUCAAGAAUUAGUAACGUUUUCGCCUCACUACCACAAAGUCAAAGAGUGCAAUGGAAGUCAGACCAAACCCUCAAGCGACCAUUUGCACUACCAUUUUGUGAAGAUAAAGCAAGCACAACAUAUUCAGAAUGUACUAGAGCAGGAUGAUGACGAUAGGCAACAAAGUCUACCCCGUACUGAGAGCCCGAUCUAACCACCCAGUUCUUACUUUUAAGGUGAGAAAAAGCUUUGAAUAAGAUAGGAAAAUCUUCCGUCCUGGAUGUCAUAUGCCUCCAUACCUCAUCAUUGUUGUCAACAACAGCUUCUUCCAUGCAGAGCUGAAAUCAUUGCUCAUUCUCUUUUGCCAUUACCCUGGGCCUACCAAAACAUGCAGGAUUGAGGAGCUCAGUUUGUUCUGUGUCUGCUUUAAGAAGCACAUUCGUAUCAGAAAGUAGUCCUCGAGAGUUUGAGCAGAUCAGAUAAGAUUGAAGCUGGAUUACUAUUUCUAAAAUGGGAUCUGCAAGAGCUUUAACUUCGGCCCCUUUUCCUUUCCACCUCGGCCCCAUUAUUCACGUUGACAACAAAAAAAUAUUCUAAAUUCACGAUAUUCCUGUUUACACAACUAACAUUGCACCAAAGAAUGCAACCAAUCAGUUACAUAACCAUACAACAUAUGCUCAUAGAAAAAUAGACACCAAUUAGAGAAUUUUCAAAGUGUAAAGUAAAUUGCAUUUUGCAACCACGCUUAUAAAGUCUUUCCUACAACAUUAUAGAAUUCAUGAAAUGUUGUGUCUUAUUAUGUCCAACCUACUUAAACUUAAAUGUAUGAAAUGGUUGUUCCAAUGUCAUGCUGUGAAAGCACUUUGUCAUACAACAAUUGGCAGUAGCAAAGUGGUAAAACAACCGUAAUAAUCCAAUUAAAGAAUCCAUCAAGCACAACAUGGCCUAGAGAAAGAAAGCAAACACAAUGCACACUCAAUUCAGAAAUGAUAGCAACUAAAGAAGAACUCAUCCCUCCAUAAGCCCAAAUGGAGCUUUUCGAGGAGUAUAUUAAAAAAUAUGGGAAAAGGGAGCCACACGAGAGUGAGAGCACUGCUGAGAUUUUUAUGGCUACCAAUCAUUUUCACCCAAUUUUGAGGGGUUUCAAGGUGUGUUCAUUUAUGUUAAAUAUGGAAACAAUCCAUAAAAGAGAGAAUACACUAUGGGGAUCUAAGUGUAGGAGGAUAAUACGCUUACUUGGAGCACUGAACCACCCAAAAUAAGGUUUAGACAGAAUACCUACCAUUCAUGUCGCAUGUAGCUGACCAGCACAAGUAUAGUCAUGUUAAAAAGUUAUGGUAAAAUAAAAUGUUGGAGAAAGUCUCCAACCAUUUUAUGGAUUAUGACUUUUUUCUUUACUAGAAUCUGUCGCCCUUUUUUUACCAGAUGAUUUCAUAGUUUCCAGUUAUGCCAUUCAAAUUCCCAAGUAAGAGAAAAGAAGAUUUUGGUUGUUUUCUAACUGAUACUUGUACGCCCAUUUGAAAUAUCGCAGCAAAGUGAUAUUCACCUAGAAGAUUAUCAUGCAGAAUCUGGAUUUGGAACCAUUAUCAAAACAUGUUUAUCCACGGACCCAAAGUCAAAUAAAGCAAAUAUCUUCUUCAUUCCCUGUCAUAUGCACUAACUUAAAUAUCAACUUGCAGAAUACUUCAACUCCAAAAUAGUAAGCAAUAUUUCAGCUAUAUAAUAGCCACACAAUUACUAUGCAGAUCCUUUGUCAUCCGGGUUUGAAUUUCUCGUUUAUAAUAGUAAAAGGCUUUACAUUUUGACACAUAGGAAAGGUAGAGAAAUUCUGUGCAAGAAGAACGCAAAGAAUACGCAUAAAAACUGAAGAUAAAAGAGUGAAACUUAACAUAGUAAAAGCAUCACUCUACUGAGCAAAAAAUCAAAUACCUCGCAGGCGGCAAGACAUGCAACAACAGACACAUUCAACAGCUCAAUAUGCAUAAAGUACAUGCAUCAAUCACAAAGUUAUGGUCAUUAAGAAAUAAAAUACCUUUAUACGGAAGCAUCAAACACAAAGGGCUUCAGACGCGUAAUCACAGUCAGCUUUCGAACUCUUUAUGCCUUCCUCAAACUUCUUAGAACAAGACACGAAACUCAGAAGAAAGCAAAAGCAAAUUUAAUUAAUUUAAACCUGAAUUAGACUCAAUGUGUGGGACAAAGUUGUCUCCCAUUGUUUUGAUAAAAAGUGGAGAAGAAGAUCGUGAGAGAUGGGAAAAUAUGUAUAUUGAGUUUCUAUGGUUUGUUUAGGUAGAUUGAUUAUUUUAUAUUAUACUAAUUUUACUUAUACAUUCAAUUUGCUUGCUUGUCUUUGGAGAAGAAGGAUUUGGGAUUGGGUUGAUCCAGAUGGGUCGGUAUUUUAUAGGUCUGGUCAAAUAUUUAUAUACCACCUAUAUUUCAUUAAAUAAUAUUAGUGUAUACGGCGAAAUCAGAGGAUCCAAUUCCUCGUCAUCGAGGCACCUCUGAACAUUGUCUCGAUGCUACAAGACCAUGGUCGAGUUUCCUCCCUCGAGGCUCGUCGACACCUGGCCUUAGGACAAUGUUGAUCACGGAUAUGAUAGAAAUGAGGAGUUCUCAAGGCACAUGGCGAAGACUGACAGAGCCUAGUGGAUUACUCUAAACACGAAUCAGGGUGUUAUCUGGCUGUUCCAUCUCUGUAUCUUUGUCAUUAAUGCAUUUUGUACUAUCUUUGGAACUUAAUUCAUCGACAAGUAAAAUCCAUACAGCAAGUGUGACAAUUGAUUGCAUAGAACUUGUUGAAGGGGAUCAGACCUCAUCAAGAAUCAAAAGAAAGGUAGGAGUAGUUGACACAUUGAAUCAAGAUAUUGUGGUGAAGGAAUUUGAAACUGGAAAGCCUAAAGUGAGAAUUCUCACAAUGAACUUCUCCAUGGACUGCAAAGUACCGAGCAGUGCAGAAAUCAUAACACCAAUUUGCCAGUCAAGAAUACGGAGAAGUGUCUGAAGGAAGGCAAUCUUUUGAUUAUACCCCCACGGAAUGCAGUUCCAUUUUCUGAUGAAUGGUUGGCAGCAGUGGAAGCUGCUGGGGAGGAUAUCUUAACCUGGAAAGGUGGUGCUUUACAAAAUUCACCCCAUGGUCUCCGGACCAAAAUGCAUCUAACAACUAACAGUAAAGUGUCAAGAAACAGACCAAUCAUAAAGGGGAAGGUUAUCCAGCCACCAUUUUUGCGGCUGUCUGAAGAGGAGAGUCUUGCUCUUUCAUCAUCACAACUGGCUGAAUUAUCCAUUGAUAUUAGCCAAUUUAAUAGCAGUGAUAUUUCUUCUUUUUGGAUAUGGAGUUUCAAGUUUUUAUAAGUAAGCAACUUUAUGCAAGACUGCUAGACCCCAGGUCACUGAUUUUAUAGGCCACCAUGUUCAUUUAGUUGGCUCUUUUGUCUUUCUUACGUUCAUGUAAAGUAAUUCCGAUAACUUUUGUGUUUAAAUUAGAAAUCGUUACUAUUUAUUUUUAA
Nicotiana attenuata is the source of this 5664-nucleotide RNA transcript. It is a transcript of the gene named tRNA-splicing endonuclease subunit Sen2-1-like, with no coding region annotated. The transcript has 6 exons. NCBI's taxonomy places the organism in Eukaryota, Viridiplantae, Streptophyta, Magnoliopsida, Solanales, Solanaceae. The record is from RefSeq and is a predicted model, not a curated record.